Small nuclear RNA from Panicum virgatum (switchgrass), 102 nucleotides. NCBI's taxonomy places the organism in Eukaryota, Viridiplantae, Streptophyta, Magnoliopsida, Poales, Poaceae. The record is from RefSeq and is a predicted model, not a curated record.
GUCUCUUCGGGGACAUCUAAGAAAAUUAGGAUGAUACAGACAAAAUUAGCAUAGUUCUGCGCAAUGAUGAUAUGUGCAAAUAGAGAAAUAGUCCAAUUUUUU